Molecule: ribosomal RNA, 325 nt
Filed under: uncultured eukaryote
Lineage: Eukaryota
Description: partial 18S ribosomal RNA
Rfam family: Eukaryotic small subunit ribosomal RNA
Source: RNAcentral
CCCUUAGAUGUCCUGGGCCGCACGCGCGUUACACUGAUGCAUUCAACAAGCUUAUAACCUUGGCCGAGAGGCCUGGGCAAUCUUGUUAACGUGCAUCGUGAUAGGGAUAGAUUAUUGAAAUUAUUAAUCUUGAACGAGGAAUUCCUAGUAAACGCAGUUCAUCAGACUGCAUCGAUUACGUCCCUGCCCUUUGUACACACCGCCCGUCGCUCCUACCGAUUGAAUGCUCAGGUGAGCCAUUCGGACUUUCAUCAUGCUGGUUUCCAGUUUUGAUGAAGGAAAGUCUUGCGAACCUUAUCAUUUAGAGGAAGGAGAAGUCGUAACA